AGCGAACGCUGGCGGCAUGCUCAACACAUGCAAGUCGCACGGGCAGCAAUGUCAGUGGCGGACGGGUGAGUAACGCGUAGGAACGUGUCCUGAGGUGGGGGACAACCCCGGGAAACUGGGGCUAAUACCGCAUAUGGGCUGAGGCCCAAAGCCGAGAGGCGCCUUUGGAGCGGCCUGCGUCCGAUUAGGUAGUUGGUGGGGUAAAGGCCUACCAAGCCUGCGAUCGGUAGCUGGUCUGAGAGGACGACCAGCCACACUGGGACUGAGACACGGCCCAGACUCCUACGGGAGGCAGCAGUGGGGAAUAUUGGACAAUGGGCGAAAGCCUGAUCCAGCAAUGCCGCGUGGGUGAAGAAGGUCUUCGGAUCGUAAAGCCCUUUCGACGGGGACGAUGAUGACGGUACCCGUAGAAGAAGCCCCGGCUAACUUCGUG
This 433-nucleotide ribosomal RNA is filed under the name uncultured bacterium. RNAcentral's name for it is "partial 16S ribosomal RNA". It matches the Rfam family "Bacterial small subunit ribosomal RNA", at positions 30 to 507 of the family's 1533-position model. The record is from RNAcentral.